ACGUAGUUGGCCGGUCCUUCUUCUGCACAUACCGUCACUUGCGCUUCGUCUGUGCUGAAAGAGGUUUACAACCCGAAGGCCGUCAUCCCUCACGCGGCGUCGCUGCAUCAGGCUUGCGCCCAUUGUGCAAUAUUCCCCACUGCUGCCUCCCGUAGGAGUCUGGGCCGUAUCUCAGUCCCAGUGUGGCCGGUCACCCUCUCAGGCCGGCUACCCGUCGUCGCCUUGGUAGGCCAUUACCCCACCAACAAGCUGAUAGGCCGCGGGCCCAUCCCACACCGCAAAAGCUUUCCACCACACCCCAUGAAGAGCAUGAUCAUAUUCGGUAUUAGACCCAGUUUCCCAGGCUUAUCCCAAAGUGCAGGGCAGAUCACCCACGUGUUACUCACCCGUUCGCCACUCGAGUACCCCGAAGGGCCUUUCCGUUCGACUUGCAUGUGUUAAGCACGCCGCCAGCGUUCGUCCUGAGCCAGGAUCAAACUCA
This 481-nucleotide ribosomal RNA is filed under the name Mycobacterium sp. dtb94. Its description in RNAcentral is "partial 16S ribosomal RNA". Lineage: Bacteria; Bacillati; Actinomycetota; Actinomycetes; Mycobacteriales; Mycobacteriaceae. The record is from RNAcentral.